GUGUCUGAAGCGGUGUGGACCCACCUCUUCCCAUUCCGAACAGAGAAGUGAAACACACCAGCGCCUACGAUACUUCGGCUAUCGCCGAGGGACAAUGGGUCGAUGC
Molecule: ribosomal RNA, 106 nt
Filed under: Patescibacteria group bacterium
Lineage: Bacteria
Source: RNAcentral